UUGAUCAGAAAUGCAGCUUCAGAGAAAUCACUGUGAAAAUGCAUUAUCUGGCCAAGAA
Molecule: microRNA precursor, 58 nt
Filed under: Schmidtea mediterranea
Lineage: Eukaryota; Metazoa; Platyhelminthes; Tricladida; Dugesiidae
Description: Sme-Mir-277-P7a_pre stem-loop
Source: RNAcentral